AUCUCUGUAGAGUCUGCAUAUCAAUAAGCGGAGGAAAAGAAACUAACUAGGAUUCCCUCAGUAACGGCGAGUGAAGCGGGAAGAGCUCAAAUUUGAAAUCUUCAAGGUUCUACCUUGACGAAUUGUAGUUUAAAGAAGUGUUUUCUGUUGGAUGUUUUGGUAAAAGUUCUUUGGAAUAGGACAUCAUAGAGGGUGAGAAUCCCGUAUUUGACCAUUACUUCCAGCGUUGUGAUACACUUUCAAAGAGUCGGAUUGUUUGGGAAUGCAGUCCAAAAUGGGUGGUAAAUUUCAUCUAAAGCUAAAUAUUGGCGAGAGACCGAUAGCGAACAAGUACCGUGAGGGAAAGAUGAAAAGAACUUUGAAUAGAGAGUUAAACAGUACGUGAAAUUGUCAAAAGGGAAGCGUUUGACACCAGUGUUGUUUUUCUGAAAAUCAAUUAAAAAAGCUGGCUUAUGCUAUUGUUUAAGACCUUAUCAGCUACUGUAUUAUUUUUGAGCUUUUCUUUAAUGCACUUUUCAGUUAACAAGUCAACAUCAAUUUCUUUUGCUGUAAAAAAGCUUGAGGAAGGUGGCUUGAGAUUCGUCUUAAGUGUUUAUAGCCUCUUGCCUAUGCAGUCGGAGAGAUUGAGGUCUGCAGCGUAGAUCCUUCGGGGCUAGGUACAUUUGUGCUAAGUUAUAGCAUUUUAUAGACAACUUGUUGACUAUGAUUAGUCAUUGUAGCUUACUCGCUUAUGUUAUUUUACCUACGCUUAGGAUGUUGACGAUCAGCUGAGCGCG
Molecule: ribosomal RNA, 776 nt
Filed under: uncultured Neocallimastigales
Lineage: Eukaryota; Fungi; Neocallimastigomycota; Neocallimastigomycetes; Neocallimastigales
Description: partial large subunit ribosomal RNA
Rfam family: Eukaryotic large subunit ribosomal RNA
Source: RNAcentral